AGUGAACGCUGGCGGUAGGCCUAACACAUGCAAGUCGAAUGGCAGCACAGUAAGAGCUUGCUAUUACGGGUUGCGAGUGGCGGACGGGUGAGGACUACAUCGGAAUCUACUUUUUCGUGGGGGAUAACGUAGGGAAACUUACGCUAAUACCGCAUACGACCUACGGGUGAAAGCAGGGGAUCUUCGGACCUUGCGCGAUUGAUUGAGCCGUUGUCGGAUUAGAUAGUUGGCGGGGUAAAGGCCCACCAAGGCGACGAUCCGUAGCUGGUCUGAGAGGAUGAUCAGCCACACUGGAACUGAGACACGGUCCAGACGCCUACGGGAGGCAGCAGUGGGGAAUAUGGGACAAUGGGCGCAAGCCAGAUCCAGCCAUACCGCGUGUGUGAAGAAGGCCUUCGGGUUGUAAGACCCUUUUGUUGGGAAAGAAAAGCAGCAGGUUAAUACCCCGCUGUUCUGACGGUACCCAAAGAAUAAGCACCGGCUAACUUCGUG
This 492-nucleotide ribosomal RNA is filed under the name uncultured bacterium. RNAcentral describes it as "partial 16S ribosomal RNA". It matches the Rfam family "Bacterial small subunit ribosomal RNA", at positions 29 to 507 of the family's 1533-position model. The record is from RNAcentral.